This 217-nucleotide ribosomal RNA is filed under the name Anser anser (Domestic goose). RNAcentral describes it as "partial 16S ribosomal RNA". The record is from RNAcentral. Lineage: Eukaryota; Metazoa; Chordata; Aves; Anseriformes; Anatidae.
UGUGGAACUUAAAAAUCAACGACCACUGCGAAUCCUCAAUCAACCCCACUGGGGCCACUACCAUCGCAGAGCCUGGUCGAUAUUUUUCGGUUGGGGCGACCUUGGAGGAGAACAAAUCCUCCAAAAACAAGACCAUACCUCUUUACCUAGAGCUACCCCUCAAAGUGCUAACAGUGACCAGACCCAAUAUAAUUGAUUAAUGGACCAAGCUACCCCA